CGUACACUCCUGCGGGAGGCAGCAGUGGGGAAUAUUGGACAAUGGGCGCAAGCCUGAUCCAGCCAUGCCGCGUGAGUGAUGAAGGCCCUAGGGUUGUAAAGCUCUUUCACCGGUGAAGAUAAUGACGGUAACCGGAGAAGAAGCCCCGGCUAACUUCGUGCCAGCAGCCGCGGUAAUACGAAGGGGGCUAGCGUUGUUCGGAUUUACUGGGCGUAAAGCGCACGUAGGCGGACUAUUAAGUCAGGGGUGAAAUCCCGGGGCUCAACCCCGGAACUGCCUUUGAUACUGGUAGUCUUGAGUUCGAGAGAGGUGAGUGGAAUUCCGAGUGUAGAGGUGAAAUUCGUAGAUAUUCGGAGGAACACCAGUGGCGAAGGCGGCUCACUGGCUCGAUACUGACGCUGAGGUGCGAAAGCGUGGGGAGCAAACAGGAUUAGAUACCCUUGUAGUCCCAUG
This 453-nucleotide ribosomal RNA is filed under the name uncultured organism. Its description in RNAcentral is "partial 16S ribosomal RNA". It matches the Rfam family "Bacterial small subunit ribosomal RNA", at positions 330 to 799 of the family's 1533-position model. The record is from RNAcentral.